Small nuclear RNA from Arvicola amphibius (Eurasian water vole), 134 nucleotides. RefSeq annotates it as U4 spliceosomal RNA. Lineage: Eukaryota; Metazoa; Chordata; Mammalia; Rodentia; Cricetidae. The record is from RefSeq and is a predicted model, not a curated record. The transcript has a single exon.
CUCUUAGUUACAGUAUCAUAGACAAUGAGGUUUAUCCUAGGCAUAAUUAUUGCUAAUUAAAAACUUUGCCCAACACCUGCUGUGAUAACUUGCAAUAUACUUAGCAUUGGAAAUUUUUUCAGUCUCUACAGAGA